This 94-nucleotide small nuclear RNA is filed under the name Castor canadensis (American beaver). Lineage: Eukaryota; Metazoa; Chordata; Mammalia; Rodentia; Castoridae. The record is from RNAcentral.
GUGCUUGCUUCGGUAGCACAAAUAUUAAAACUGGAAUGAUACAUGACCCCUGUGUGAGGAUGCCAGGCAAAUUUGUAAAGCAUUCCAUAUCUUU